This 1189-nucleotide ribosomal RNA is filed under the name Rhynchocypris percnurus (lake minnow). Its description in RNAcentral is "partial 16S ribosomal RNA". It matches the Rfam family "Bacterial large subunit ribosomal RNA", at positions 724 to 2556 of the family's 2925-position model. The record is from RNAcentral. Lineage: Eukaryota; Metazoa; Chordata; Actinopteri; Cypriniformes; Leuciscidae.
GGUGAGCUACCCCGAGACAGCCUAUGUUAAUUUAGGGCUAACCCGUCUCUGUGGCAAAAGAGUGGGAAGAGCUCCGGGUAGAAGUGAAAGACCUACCGAACCUGGUGAUAGCUGGUUGACUGAGAAAUGGAUAGAAGUUCAGCCUCGCACACCCCAAACCAAAAAAUAUUAUUAUCAAGAUAUUUAGGGAUACGUACGAGAGUUAGUUAAAAGGGGUACAGCCCUUUUAACAAAGGAUACAACCUUUACAGGAGGAUAAAGAUCAUAAUGUAUAAGAUAUACUGUUCUAGUGGGCCUGAAAGCAGCCACCUAUACAGAAAGCGUUAAAGCUCGGACAGAAAGAAAUUUAUUAUUUAGAUAAAAAAUCUUAUUCCCCUAACUAUAUCAGACCAACCCAUGCCUACAUGGAAGAGAUUAUGCUAAAAUGAGUAAUAAGAAGACCCGCUCUUCUCCCAGCACAAGUGUAAGCCAGAUCGGACUAGCCGCUGGAAUUUAACGAACCCAACCCAAGAGGGUAAUGUGAUCAACAAAAAACUCAAGAAGACCUCACAUUAAACAAUCGUUAACCCCACACUGGAGUGCUAUUCUAAGGGAAAGACUAAAAGAAGGGGAAGGAACUCGGCAAACACAAGCCUCGCCUGUUUACCAAAAACAUCGCCUCCUGCAACUGAACUGAGUAUAGGAGGUCCAGCCUGCCCAGUGACUACAGGUUCAACGGCCGCGGUAUCUUGACCGUGCAAAGGUAGCGCAAUCACUUGUCUCUUAAAUAGAGACCUGUAUGAAUGGCUAGACGAGGGCUUAACUGUCUCCCCCCUCCAGUCAGUGAAAUUGAUCUAUCCGUGCAGAAGCGGGUAUAAAUAUACAAGACGAGAAGACCCUUUGGAGCUUAAGGUACAAAUUCAACCACGUUAAACAACUCUAUAAGAAGCAAGAACUUAGUGAUACUGAAAUUUUACCUUCGGUUGGGGCGACCGCGGAGGAAAAACAAGCCUCCGAGUGGACUGGGCCAAACCCCUGAAGCUAAUAGAGACAUCUAUAGGACACAGAAUAUCUGACCAAAAAUGAUCCGGCUAAAAAGCCGAUCAACGAACCAAGUUACCCAAGGGAUAACAGCGCAAUCCCCUCCCAGAGCCCAUAUCUACGAGGGGGUUUACGACCUCGAUGUUGGAUCAGGACAUCCUAAUGGUGC